This 742-nucleotide small RNA is filed under the name Pongo abelii (Sumatran orangutan). RNAcentral's name for it is "processed transcript". Lineage: Eukaryota; Metazoa; Chordata; Mammalia; Primates; Hominidae. The record is from RNAcentral.
GGCAGCCCUCGAAUCCCACUCCAGGCGCAGCAGAGCUCAGAGGCCCGCGUCAUCCGCAUCAGCAUCAACAAUGAUCACGGGAACCUGUAUCGAAGCAUCUUGCUGACCAGUCAGGACAAAGCCCCCAGCGUGGUCCAGCGAGCCUUGCGGAAGCACAAUGUGCCCCAGCCCUGGGCCCGUGACUAUCAGCUCUUUCAAGUCCUUCCUGGGGACAGGGGUUCCCAGUGACAGCAGAAUGAGCUUGGCUUGGCAGUAGCUGCAGAGGGACCCAUGGCUGUUCAGGUUCGAGGAGCUCCUGAUUCCUGACAAUGCCAACGUCUUCUAUGCCAUGAGUCCAGUCGCCCCCGGAGACUUCAUGCUGCGGCGGAAAGAGGGGACCCGGAACACUCUGUCUGUCUCCCCAACCUGAGGCAGCUCUGUCCUCUCCACAAGACACAAGUCCCAUGAGCAAGCUUGCGACUCCUCUCCUGGAAAACUGCCAUCCCCCAGUAGAGGCCACUGUGCUGUGUAUCCCAGGACCACCACCCAACUGUAGCCCAUUGGACCCCAUCUCUUUUUCUGACCCUGUUGGUACUAGAUCCAUAUUCCAAAGACAUCAGCCCAUGGUGGUGGAGAGCUCAAUCCCAUAAAUGUAGAAAGGGGUGGGGCCUGGGUAUGUCAAAUCCUUCCCCAGAGAAAUCUUAUAAAUGUUGGAGACGCAUCAGAAGUGACAGAUGCGGAUGAAAAUAGUGACCAGAGUUAU